CUGCUAACCUCAGGAUGUUUAUAACUACGGAGUUUAGUGGACACACCACGGCAGCAAGGUUAGACUGUUGAAGGCUACUGAAGACUACUAAAGCAGGCAACGCAGCGUAAGCAAAAAAAACAAAAACCACACACACACACCAAAAUACAAGUUAAGAUAAAAUAUGAAAACGAACAUAAUAAAGCAUAAAUAAUUAAAUUGAAUUGCGGGCCAGCCGUAUGUUUAUUUUGUUAACCCGUGAGGGGCCGUAUGAAACCGCGUGGGCCGGUACUUUGAGACCCCUGGUGUAAUGUAAAGGUGUAAUAGUGUUGAGGGAAGGUAUAAUAUUGUUAAGGGAAGGUGUAAUGUUAAAGGUGUAAUAGUUUUGAGGGAAGGUGUAAUAGUUUUGAGGGAAGGUGUAAUAGUGUUGAGGGAAGGUGUAAUGUUAAAGGUGUAAUAGUGUUAAGGGAAGGUAUAAUAUUGUUAAGGGAAGGUGUAAUGUUAAAGGUGUAAUAGUGUUAAGGGAAGGUAUAAUAUUGUUAAGGGAAGGUGUAAUGUAAAGGUGUAAUAGUGUUGAGGGAAGGUAUAAUAUUGUUAAGGGAAGGUGUAAUGUAAAGCUGUAAUAGUUUUAAGGGAAGGUAAAUGUUUAGUGAAAUUGUUAUGGUGUGAAUCUAAGGUGUAUGUUAUGUUGAUGUAAAAUAAAGGCAUUAACCCCAAA
This is a long non-coding RNA of Astyanax mexicanus (Mexican tetra), 697 nucleotides long. RefSeq lists it as uncharacterized. Lineage: Eukaryota; Metazoa; Chordata; Actinopteri; Characiformes; Acestrorhamphidae. The transcript has 2 exons. The record is from RefSeq and is a predicted model, not a curated record.